GUCAACGGACAAACCAUGCUGAAAGUAUCGGCUCUCGUCCGAUCACCGAAGUCAAGACAACCCUUAACGGUUUUUUCACCUGCCUUUAGCCACUGCUCUUUCUUAAUUAACUCAGUAUUCCUUAACGAAGUUGUGGAGGUAAUUGCAUUAAGUUGCAAAGGUACUCCGGAAGCCAACGCCUUGGGCCGAAGUCAAGCAGCAUCGGGCGCGGUCAGUACUUGGGAGGGUGACCACCAGGGAACACCACGUGCUGUUGACA
Molecule: ribosomal RNA, 259 nt
Filed under: Stegodyphus mimosarum
Lineage: Eukaryota; Metazoa; Arthropoda; Arachnida; Araneae; Eresidae
Source: RNAcentral